This 3745-nucleotide long non-coding RNA is filed under the name Sus scrofa (pig). RNAcentral's name for it is "lncRNA (ENSSSCG00055006550.1)". Lineage: Eukaryota; Metazoa; Chordata; Mammalia; Artiodactyla; Suidae. The record is from RNAcentral.
GGUCUUUUUGUCUUUUUAGGGCCAUGCCUGGGCAUAUGGAGGUUCCCAGGUUCCCAGGCUAGGGGCUGAAUCAGAGCUGUAGCUGCCGGCCUAACCACAGCUACAGAAACUCGAGAUCCAAUCCACGUCUGCAACCUGCACCACAGCUCACAGCAACGCCAGAUCCUUAACCAACUGAGUGAGGCCCGGGAUCAAUCCCGUGUCCUCAUGGAUGCUAGUCGGGUUUGUUAACUGCUGAGCCAUGACAGGAAGUCCUGUAGAGUCACUCUUUAAGAAACCUAGAGAGAUAGGUUCCCUAGUUACAUAUUCUCUAAGAACCUGCGAUCUUUCUUUUUACCCCAUCUAAUUAUAGCUACUUGGCUACUGAUCUUGACUUUUUUUUAAUGUUUUCAUCCUCCACUAGACAGCUACACGGCAUCAAGAACUCUGUGUAAUUCUCAAGUGCCUAAGACUUAGCAGCUAUUAGGUACUUAAUAGAUAGGGUGAAUGAACUGAAAAAGGUUACAAGUUUGGGGUCAGCCAUGGGAAUGAGGAUCAAGUGAUUCUUUGCUCACAGAGCAACAAAGCCAAAAACAAAAUUACAGGUGAACUCUGACAACACAGCAAACCAAAGGAGGAAGGACUGGACCUUGGGGUGUUGGCAACUGUUUCCUAUCUCCACUCUUCAGUGGUUUUGGGACGGUGUCACCCAUGGAACACAAAGCUCUGUGCAACAGGCAGAAGGAGGCAGUCUAGAAGCCGGCUGCUUGGGCUGUACAAGCACAGCACACCAAAAGUCAGCAUAGUUUGUCAGCAGGAGUCUUAUUCCCUGAGUCCCUAGAGAGUGAGACACUCUAUUUUAUUUUUUUUUUUUCCGCUCAAACAGCCACAGUUGCAGGAUAUGGAAGUUCCCAGGCCAGGGGUCAAAGCAGGGCUGCAGCUGAGGCCUACGCCACAGCCAGAGCAACACCAGAUCCAAGCUGCAUCUGCGACCUACACCAGAGCUUGUGGCAACACCAGAUCCUUAACCCACUGAGCAAGGUCAUGGAUCAAACCAGCAACCUCAUAGAGACAAUGUCAGAUCCUUAACCUGCUGAGCCACAAGAACUCCAAACUCAUUUUUUUAAAAAACUGUUUCCAGCUAACUCUGGAAAACUAGAAAGGUUCCAGGAAUCCAAAAGUCUGUAAGAAGGUUUAAAGGGGGCAGAGCAUGUGCUGAUUCUUUAACAGCAUCAUGUAAUAAGCAUGGGAGGAGAUAUUAACUGAUACCUCAGCUUAGCAAGUGCCCUGGGAAAUGACUGACGUCCAGAAGAGGUCCUUUCAUUUAUCCCUUCAUGGGUUCCAGCCUACAUGCUGCUCCUACCUACUUACUUAACCAUGUUUGCAUGAUUAAGGCCUUUCCCCACCCAUCCAACUUAAAUAGUGCUAAAAUCUUAAUUAAAAUACACUUUAAAAAAUGAUGAACAACCAAAUUCAGGUGCUGCAUAAUUUAUUUACCUUUAUGCAACUCUUCCCCCAAGGAACUCAAGGCAUUUGGCAAACUUAAAAUUAUCUAACAGAUAUUAAUCUUCACAAAAUUCUCAGGAGAAAGACAAGAAUGUAAGGAACACAAUCAAUAAUAGAUCCCUUAUCUCCACACACAUACACCUUCCUUCCACAAAUCCAAGUGUGCACCCUGUCUCUCUGAGCCUCUAAACUAAUUCAGAAAAUUAUAAGAUUUUUUUUUAGGAAGCCAUCCCAAACAGAAGAGGAGCUAAUGACUUUUCUACCACACUGUGAAAAAGGUCAGUAAAUCUCUUCUAGUCUGCAAUAGGAAAAAAAAAAAAAAAAAUCCUAUCCUACUCCAAAGUUAAAUUUUCCAGACCAACUUAAAACGCAAUUUGUGCUUUAAAAAAAGUUACUGAGGGAGUUCCCACUGUGGCUCAGUGGGUUAAGGACAUGAUGUUGUCUCUGUAAGGAUGAAGGUUAGAUCCCUGGCCUUGCUCAGUGGGUUAUGGAUCCAGCACGGCUGCAAGCUACAGCACAGGUCGCAGAUGCGGCUCGGAUCCAGUGUUGCCAUGGCUGUGGUAUAUGCCUCAUCUGCAGCUCUGAUUCACCCCCUGGCCCAGGAACUUCCAUAUGCUGCAGGUGCAGCCCUAAGAAGAAAAAGAGAAGUUACUGAAUUCUAAUACUCAUGUUGCUCCCACUAUCUCUGAGCUAACCCCUCAGAGGAGAAUCUGUAUUGUAAACAAAACAUCUCAGGAUUUCCAGGGCCUUCAAAGGUAUAUGGUAAGGAUUUAUUUCCUAAGUUAGGUAAUGAGUAUGAUUUGGGGGCUUAUUUUUCUUCUUUAAGAAAAAAUACAUAUAUAUGGUUUAAAGAAGAAAAAUAUGUAUUUUAUAUAUUUAUUUAUAUGUUUACACACACACACACACACGUACUUGCUCUAGAGCUCCUAAUGAACUCUGUGCAGGCAGGACGGGAACCAUGCUUUGGGAACCUAUGCAGGCUGCAUCAGAACCUCCUGGGUGCUUUUAAAAUAGAAUCUUAUUAUGGAUUGAACUGUGUCCCCUGAAAAAAGAUACAGAAGGGGGCAAGAAGGACUCCCCUACAGGUUUCAGAAGGAGCAUGAACCUGCAGACACCUGAUCUCAGACUCCAGUACAGUAAGGGAAUAUAUUUCUAUUGCUUUAAACACCCAGUGUUUAAAAUGGUACUUUGUUAGGCAAUCCCAGUCCUAGAAAACUAAUACAAACCCCUCCUAUGAGUCAUGUUGACAGUAUCUGACCUAAUUUUGAGAAGUCUGCCACAGGUUCUAGAAUCCCAAGAACAUUUGUUCAAGAAAAGACCUCUAAAUAAUUCCAUUGUUGUGAAGAUAAGAAAAAAAAAAAAGAAAAAAAGAAAAAAGAAAAAAGAAAAAAAAACUGGAGAGUUCUCCUUGUGGCUCAACAGGUUAAGAACCCAACAUAGUGUCUAUGAGGAUAUGGGUUUGAUCCCUGGCCUUCCUCAGUGGGUUAAGGAUCUGACAGUGGUGCAAACUGCAGUAUAGGUCACAGAUGCAGCUCAGAACCUGCUAUGGCUGUGGCCCCAGCUGCAGCUCUGAUUUGACUCCUAGCCACAGGGACAGCCGUGUUAAAAAAAAAAAAAAAGAGUUUCAUAAAGAGUCUAAAAUUCUUAUCAUAAACUGUCAUUUGGUAGGGACAGUAUUUUAGGAACGCCUCCUAAAAUAUCUGGAAAAAAUGAGACCCAGUACUUUUUUAAGCAGAGAAGAGAGUUCAGGGACUAACAGGGAGUACGGACAAAGACAGCCUGGCCUCUUGGCUCUGUAAAAGCAGAUAGGAAAUGCCAUUAAACAAAUACUGUUGCCCAAGUAAGUUUUAAAGAAUUUGAAACUAUUCCCGAAAGUCUUGCUUAUUAGCCUCUGUUCCUAUUUUAAAAUUAAAAGGUUCAAGAGAGCCCUGAUCUGUACCUGGUUUGCUGGAACCAUAUUUGCAAAGAGCUAAUAUUUGGAGGAAAGUAAGUGAGGAAAAAGCUAUCUGGUUCUACUAUCCAUCCAUCUGUCCUUUUAAGUGUCUGACUAUAAUCCACAGCAGACAUACUUAGCAAACUUUAAAAUACAGCCUCUCAACAUUGUUACAAUUAAGUCACUCUGAAAUGUCAUGAAAAGCAAUCUAGUCCCAUUAAAAUCUUCACACUCUCAUUAAAAAAGCACUUACAGACUUGAAAAUGUUCCUAAUACAUUAUUUAAAGACACAAGAUGUACAGUGACUAAAAUCCUUGUAUAAGGAAG